AGCCCAUGAUUAGGACAUCUCCUGAAUAAGGCUUUGUAUCUCUCCCAAGCAUCAUUCAAGCUCUCACCUUCACGCUGAACGAAAUUGAAGAUCUCAUCUCGAAUUGCGGAC
Triticum aestivum (bread wheat) is the source of this 111-nucleotide non-coding RNA. The record is from Rfam. NCBI's taxonomy places the organism in Eukaryota, Viridiplantae, Streptophyta, Magnoliopsida, Poales, Poaceae.